AAAUCGGCGCUAAUACCUCAUAAUGCAGCGGACCCGCAUGGGUAUGUUGUUAAAGGUUUACCGCCUUGGGAUAGGCUUGCGUCUGAUUAGCUAGUUGGUGUGGUAACGGCACACCAAGGCUACGAUCAGUAACUGGUCUGAGAGGAUGAUCAGUCACACUGGAACUGAGACACGGUCCAGACUCCUACGGGAGGCAGCAGUGAGGAAUAUUGGGCAAUGCACGAAAGUGUGACCCAGCAACGCCGCGUGGAGGAUGAAGGUAUUCUAUAUCGUAAACUCCUGUGAGAGCAGACGAAAGACAGAUUAUUAAUUUGGAUGACUGUAUGCUCAGAGGAAGCCCCGGCUAACUACGUG
RNAcentral lists this ribosomal RNA (354 nucleotides) under uncultured bacterium. RNAcentral's name for it is "bacterial SSU rRNA". It matches the Rfam family "Bacterial small subunit ribosomal RNA", at positions 154 to 507 of the family's 1533-position model. The record is from RNAcentral.